CAUUUUCUAUUUCUCUUUCUGCUCUCGGUCUCUAUCUCUAACCUAACCAGCCUAUGGAAACAGAGAAAUUAGUAAAUCUUAGAUGCUAUUUAAACGAAAAUAAUAGACCCUUCUAUAGAUUCUUCUUCUGAAAUCCUUCAUCUCACUUUUCGAGUUGUACAUCUCAAAUUUGUUGGAACAGAUUCAACCUUAUUAUUUCUCCAUUCAUCCCAAAAUCGAAAAUAUAAAUAUCGUGUAUUAAAUUGGGCGUGAUAUGAGACAUGAUUUGAAGCAAGGGUGUUUGUUCCAACCGGUCAAGUUUUUCGUGUUUUAUUCACUAAAAGUAAAUCGAGCUCUCAGAUCUAUAAAUUAGCACCACGAACGCUUCGAUCACUUACCUCUUCAUCUAAAUGCUCAUCUCUUUCGAAUGAAGGCAAUAGAGGAGUCAAAUUGGUGGCGGAUUCUGAUAAUAUUGUUGAUGUUGCUCAUAAGGUUUCGAGGUGCUAACAAGAGAGGUUGGUGGAGUUGAUAGUGGUACUGUAACGGCAAGAGUAUCUCUAGAUGAAAUCAGGGUGGAGGUACGAACUAUGAAGUUUGAUGACUUGCGAUUUGUAAAGGAAAAUGUCUCCUACUGAAACCCAUAAAAUGCGCCGAUGUUGUGGAUAUUAAUAGCAAAUUGAGAAGAUGAGAAUUGUCUGUUUCUUUCCACUAUCAAAUCUUGGGUGGUAUUCCUGCUCCUUCAAACUUUGGAGAAGAUUUGAAACGUCGUGCUCAGGGGUGUGUUGUACUUGACAGACACAGGGACAAUAACAAAGGAAAGUGAGUGUUCAACUUCAAAACUCCUUUAUUUGGUUCGUAAGAAGUUACUCUUUAUAUCACUAUGUGUUGAAGACUUUGUUCUUGGGUUACUUUUUUGAUGAGAACGAAUUUGUACGAAAGUGGCAUUCGUGAGGGAUACCAAAGCUUAACAAAGAAGUUUGAGUUGGAAAUUGCAGGACGGGUCCUGGUUCAAGUUAAAGAAUCCCAAGCGUGUACUUUCUUAUAUUUCCUCGGUGUUGGACAAAAUAUCUAUGGAUUAGAUGGCUGAGGUUAAGGGACCUUCAAAUUUCAGUGUAGAGUCUUCCGAAGUGAUAAAGGAUAAGGCUAAGGUUAAGGGAGACUCAAUUCCAACAGGAGGCGAUAGUCAAGAUUUCUUUGUAACUGCUCGGACCAUGCGUUGUUUAUUCCUUCCAUGUUUGGUUAGCUUUGCAGGGAGUAUUUUGGCCCCAUGAUUCUGCAGGGAACCAGUUGCUGAGGUUCUACAAUGUUUGGCAGGCAUACAACUAAUUCACCGUCAAGAUGCAGCUAAAAAAACUUGUUGUGCCUGGACUUAUCUUAACGGACUCUUUACUAGGAUUAAUUAUGGAUACCAUCCAAAUUGAAAUCGUCAAAUUGUUUCGAUGCACAGGUACUCGAUUGUUACGUGUGGGAUCAGUUCAUCAUUUGAGAGGAAAGGCUGCUGGCACUGAAGGGGUAUAAGUAACCCAUGAGAUCUUGUAAUCUUCGGUUAGUUCUAAGAAAAAUUGCAGGGAAAGCAAGAUUGUGUGUAAUGCUGAGAAAGCUUUGGAACUCAUUUGUCAAUUGGCUGGAGGAGGCAGGAGAUGUUGCUGACCAUGGAGGUUAUUAUUGAAGCCCAUAAUCCAUCUCUCAUCAAAUGUAUUAUGCAUAUGAUUGUGGAGAGCCUCAAAUACAGGUUGCAAACAAGGUACACCAUUAUGAAGUAGGAACAAGUUCUUCAUCAUCAUCGGAGUUUAUAAUUUUGUUGUUUAAUCAAUAGUUUUUUAGUUCAUCGUUUCGUAACCAAAUCCAAGAACUUAGUUACCUUUAUUGUACGAUUACACUGGUCAGAACUACAGAUUUUAAUCCUUUUUGUGUAAUUUGAAACCAAUGAAUCAAUUAAUGUUAAAUUGAAUGAUUAUUUAUGUGCCA
This is a long non-coding RNA of Papaver somniferum (opium poppy), 1947 nucleotides long. RefSeq lists it as uncharacterized. The record is from RefSeq and is a predicted model, not a curated record. Lineage: Eukaryota; Viridiplantae; Streptophyta; Magnoliopsida; Ranunculales; Papaveraceae. The transcript is spliced from 14 exons.